CUCUGGCAGGCUUUUAGGAAUGUGUUGGAUAUGUACUUUGCAGUAAAUUUUGAUGGACGUAAAGUGGAAUUGUUAAAGGUGGUUAUCAGUGGUCAGGAGGUAAAGACCAAUAGUAUGUAUUCAACUAUUCACAUUAUGUACUAUGUGCCUUAAUUUCAAAUAAGGUUGUUCUUUAUAUUUGCAAGUUUCUGAAAAAAUAAUCUUGUAUAAAGUGUCAUUUUUAGGGGUCGGUUCGACGCUUUGUAGAGGUUCCACUUCAGGGGUCCUUCAUGGCAACAUUAACUCUUGGCGCGUAAGUCUUUGACUUGAGAUGUAUUUCUUUCUUACUGUUUUUUCUUCUUCUAUAGAAAUAGUGCGUCAAUUAUGAACUUUGAACAAAUUACCUGCAAGAAAAUGGGCCACAUGAUGAUAAGGUGUUCAUAUGCAAUUUAUAUUUCUUGUAAAGAUAUGCUUACACAAUUAGUACUUGAAAUUUGUUCUGCUUUCUUUCUUCUCGUUAUUGCUUACAUGAAUAAGAAUGAUUUUUAGUGAGAGACUACAAUUCAUAUAUUUUGUAGGUAGUUCCAUGAUACUUCAUGAGUGUGGCUGAAUUUGAACAACAAGGCAAUGUAGCUAAGGAAAAAGAUAAGAUUUACUGAUAUGUUGUUCAAGUCGACGGUGGUGACGACAUAACAGUGGUGCAACUGAAGGUAAAUAGUUCUGUCAGACUGCAGACUAUUUUUUCAUGUUACUGGUAGUUCUGAGUUGCUCUGUUUAUAUACUAUUGUCUGUUUUAUGUCACACAAAGAGGGCUUGUCCUCCUGGAUGUUGAUAGUAGAAGAAACCUGACGAUGCAACCCCUGGUUGCGUGCUGAUCAGGAGUUGUAAUACUUUUAUCUUAAUUAUCAAUAAAUUUUAACUUUCAUAAUAUUAUAGAAGAUAUCAUUGUAUUUUUGGAUUUCAUUGAGAAUUUUGGUAGAUUAUAGCAAGUG
This 971-nucleotide long non-coding RNA is filed under the name Aquilegia coerulea. RNAcentral describes it as "long non-coding RNA (ACOE_LNC001133)". The record is from RNAcentral. Lineage: Eukaryota; Viridiplantae; Streptophyta; Magnoliopsida; Ranunculales; Ranunculaceae.